UACGUAGGGUGCGAGCGUUGUCCGGAAUUAUUGGGCGUAAAGAGCUUGUAGGCGGUUUGUCGCGUCUGCUGUGAAAAUCCAGGGCUCAACCCUGGACCUGCAGUGGGUACGGGCAGACUAGAGUGCGGUAGGGGAGAUCGGAAUUCCUGGUGUAGCGGUGAAAUGCGCAGAUAUCAGGAGGAACACCGGUGGCGAAGGCGGAUCUCUGGGCCGUAACUGACGCUGAGGAGCGAAAGCAUGGGGAGCGAACAGG
Molecule: ribosomal RNA, 253 nt
Filed under: uncultured bacterium
Lineage: Bacteria
Description: partial 16S ribosomal RNA
Rfam family: Bacterial small subunit ribosomal RNA
Source: RNAcentral